GGGGCCGUAGCUCAACUGGGAGAGCGCCGCGUUUGCAACGCGGAGGUUGCCGGUUCGAGCCCGGUCGGCUCCA
This 73-nucleotide transfer RNA is filed under the name Phycisphaerae bacterium. RNAcentral describes it as "tRNA-Ala". It matches the Rfam family "tRNA". From Rfam's summary of the family: Transfer RNA (tRNA) molecules are approximately 80 nucleotides in length. Their secondary structure includes four short double-helical elements and three loops (D, anti-codon, and T loops). RNAcentral also lists the same sequence under 1 other name. The record is from RNAcentral. Lineage: Bacteria; Pseudomonadati; Planctomycetota; Phycisphaerae.